GACGAACGCUGGCGGCGUGCCUAAUACAUGCAAGUCGAGCGGACCCUUCGGGGUUAGCGGCGGACGGGUGAGUAACACGUGGGUAAUCUGCCCAACUGACUGGAAUAACGCCUGGAAACGGGUGCUAAUGCCGGAUAGGCAACUGGUAGGCAUCUACCGGUUGGGAAAGGUGCAACUGCACCGCAGAUGGAGGAGCCCGCGGCGCAUUAGCUAGUUGGUGGGGUAACGGCUCACCAAGGCAACGAUGCGUAGCCGACCUGAGAGGGUGACCGGCCACACUGGGACUGAGACACGGCCCAGACUCCUACGGGAGGCAGCAGUAGGGAAUCUUCCACAAUGGGCGCAAGCCUGAUGGAGCAACGCCGCGUGAGUGAAGACGGCCUUCGGGUUGUAAAGCUCAGUCACUCGGGAAGAGCGGACGAGGGAGUGGAAAGCCCUCGUCGAGACGGUACCGAGAGAGGAAGCCCCGGCUAACUACGUG
RNAcentral lists this ribosomal RNA (481 nucleotides) under uncultured bacterium. RNAcentral describes it as "bacterial SSU rRNA". It matches the Rfam family "Bacterial small subunit ribosomal RNA", at positions 28 to 507 of the family's 1533-position model. The record is from RNAcentral.